RNAcentral lists this ribosomal RNA (271 nucleotides) under uncultured archaeon. RNAcentral's name for it is "partial 16S ribosomal RNA". It matches the Rfam family "Archaeal small subunit ribosomal RNA", at positions 477 to 747 of the family's 1478-position model. The record is from RNAcentral.
CAGCGCCACGAGUGGGGAUCCUGUUUAUUUGGCCUAAAGCGUCCGUAGCUGGUUUAGUAAAUCUCUUGUGAAAUCGUUAAGCUCAACUUAACGGCGUGCAGGAGAGACUGCUAGGCUAGGGACCGGGAGGAGUCAGAGGUAUGCCUGGGGGAGCGGUAAAAUGCUAUAAUCCCUAGUAGACCACCUAUGGCGAAGGCAUCUGACUAGAACGGGUCCGACAGUGAGGGACGAAAGCCAGGGGAGCAAACCGGAUUAGAUACCCGAGUAGUCC